Molecule: long non-coding RNA, 608 nt
Organism: Hyla sarda
Lineage: Eukaryota; Metazoa; Chordata; Amphibia; Anura; Hylidae
Exons: 3
Source: RefSeq, a predicted model, not a curated record
UAUGUAGUAAGAUGUACAAGGGCAGCACAGUAAGUCUAUAGUCAAAAGAUGCACUAAUCAAAGUUGCCUCUACAAAUUGAUUUCCUCUUCUGGUGAAUAUGCAGAUUUCUAACACUUUCUUGGGAACCUUUAUUGGCCGCUCUGGGCAAACAAGGUAAAUUUCCAUGCGGCAGAUUUGUUGAAGAAAUUUGUAAGAGAAAAUCUUUUCCAUUCAUCUGAAUGAGGCUGUUGCUACAGCAUGUGCAUGAAAUUCUGGAAGCCCCAUUCAUCUCAAAGGGAAACCUGACAUGCAAAAAUACCUUAAUAAACUGGCACCUAAGGAUCAGCAAAAGAUGAGUGAAGGACAGAAGGAAGGACGUGCUGCGCUCACACAAUGUAAACACACAAUUCUUGAGAGCUUUUGAUUUCAGGGUAUUUAUUCUUUAAACACCCUUUAUAUUCAACAUAAAAAAUGGCAAAUUAGAAGAAAGCACAGCAGUGUCUAGAAACAGCAAAUUCAUUAAAAUAGAACUCACACUUUACAGCUUGUAAGAUCAAACUGAAAAAGACAAGUCUAGUAAAGAAAUGGUACUAAGAAAUGACAAACGCCGAUCCAGCACGUUGGAGGA